Molecule: transfer RNA, 68 nt
Filed under: Marmota monax (woodchuck)
Lineage: Eukaryota; Metazoa; Chordata; Mammalia; Rodentia; Sciuridae
Description: tRNA.Ala
Rfam family: tRNA (bases 5-65)
About the family: Transfer RNA (tRNA) molecules are approximately 80 nucleotides in length. Their secondary structure includes four short double-helical elements and three loops (D, anti-codon, and T loops).
Source: RNAcentral
GGAUUGUGGCUCAGUGGUAGAGCACUUGCCUUGCAAGCUUGGGACACUGGGUUUGAUCCUCAGCACCA